Molecule: ribosomal RNA, 497 nt
Filed under: uncultured bacterium
Lineage: Bacteria
Description: partial 16S ribosomal RNA
Rfam family: Bacterial small subunit ribosomal RNA
Source: RNAcentral
GAUGAACGCUGGCGGCGUGCCUAAUACAUGCAAGUCGAGCGAACGGACGAUAAGCUUUCUUCUCUGAUGUUAGCGGCGGACGGGUGAGUAACACGUGGAUAACCUACCUAUAAGACUGGGAUAACUUCGGGAAACCGGAGCUAAUACCGGAUGAUAUUUUGAACCGCAUGGUUCAAAAGUGAAAGACGGUCUUGCUGUCACUUAUAGAUGGAUCCGCGCUGCAUUAUCUAGUUGGUAAGGUAACGGCUGACCAAGGCAACGAUGCAUAGCCGACCUGAGAGGGUGAUCGGCCACACUGGAACUGAGACACGGUCCAGACUCCUACGGGAGGCAGCAGUAGGGAAUCUUCCGCAAUGGGCGAAAGCCUGACGGAGCAACGCCGCGUGAGUGAUGAAGGUCUUCGGAUCGUAAAACUCUGUUAUUAGGGAAGAACAUAUGUGUAAGUAACUGUGCACAUCUUGACGGUACCUAAUCAGAAAGCCACGGCUAACUACGUG